UACGUAGGGGGCUAGCGUUGUCCGGAAUCAUUGGGCGUAAAGCGCGUGUAGGCGGUCCGGUAAGUCCGCUGAAAGUCGAGGGCUCAACCCUCGAAUGCCGGUGGAUACUGUCGGGCUUGAGUACGGGAGAGGCGAGUGGAAUUCCUGGUGUAGCGGUGAAAUGCGCAGAUAUCAGGAGGAACACCGAUUGCGAAGGCAGCUCGCUGGAACGUUACUGACGCUGAGGCACGAAGGCCAGGGGAGCAAACGGG
Molecule: ribosomal RNA, 251 nt
Filed under: uncultured bacterium
Lineage: Bacteria
Description: partial 16S ribosomal RNA
Rfam family: Bacterial small subunit ribosomal RNA
Source: RNAcentral